CCUACGGGUCGCAGCAGUGGGGAAUAUUGGACAAUGGGCGAAAGCCUGAUCCAGCCAUGCCGCGUGUGUGAAGAAGGCCUUCGGGUUGUAAAGCACUUUCAGUGGGGAAGAAAGCCUUGGGGCUAAUACCCUCGAGGAAGGACAUCACCCACAGAAGAAGCACCGGCUAACUCCGUGCCAGCAGCCGCGGUAAUACGGAGGGUGCGAGCGUUAAUCGGAAUUACUGGGCGUAAAGCGCGCGUAGGCGGUCUGAUAAGCCGGUUGUGAAAGCCCCGGGCUCAACCUGGGAACGGCAUCCGGAACUGUCAGGCUAGAGUGCAGGAGAGGAAGGUAGAAUUCCCGGUGUAGCGGUGAAAUGCGUAGAGAUCGGGAGGAAUACCAGUGGCGAAGGCGGCCUUCUGGACUGACACUGACGCUGAGGUGCGAAAGCGUGGGUAGCAAACAGGAUUAGAUACCCCAUAGUC
RNAcentral lists this ribosomal RNA (464 nucleotides) under Vreelandella stevensii. Its description in RNAcentral is "partial 16S ribosomal RNA". It matches the Rfam family "Bacterial small subunit ribosomal RNA", at positions 338 to 795 of the family's 1533-position model. The record is from RNAcentral. Lineage: Bacteria; Pseudomonadati; Pseudomonadota; Gammaproteobacteria; Oceanospirillales; Halomonadaceae.